UACGUAGGCAGCAAGCGUUGUUCGGAGUUACUGGGCGUAAAGGGGGCGUAGGCGGCUCUAUAAGUAUGGGGUGAAAUCUCCCGGCUUAACUGGGAGGGUGCGCUAUAGACUGUGGGGCUAGAGUGCGGGAGAGGAAAGUGGAAUUCCUGGUGUAGCGGUGAAAUGCGUAGAUAUCAGGAGGAACACCGGUGGUGUAAACGGCUUUCUGGACCGUAACUGACGCUGAUGCACGAAAGCGUGGGUAGCAAACAGG
Molecule: ribosomal RNA, 253 nt
Filed under: uncultured bacterium
Lineage: Bacteria
Description: partial 16S ribosomal RNA
Rfam family: Bacterial small subunit ribosomal RNA
Source: RNAcentral